This 301-nucleotide ribosomal RNA is filed under the name uncultured bacterium. RNAcentral's name for it is "partial 16S ribosomal RNA". It matches the Rfam family "Bacterial small subunit ribosomal RNA", at positions 509 to 807 of the family's 1533-position model. The record is from RNAcentral.
CAGCCGCCGCGGUAAUACGGAGGGUGCAAGCGUUAAUCGGAAUUACUGGGCGUAAAGCGUGCGUAGGCGGUUCGUUAAGUCUGUUGUGAAAGCCCCGGGCUCAACCUGGGAAUGGCAAUGGAUACUGGCGAGCUAGAGUGUGUCAGAGGAUGGUGGAAUUCCCGGUGUAGCGGUGAAGUGCGUAGAGAUCGGGAGGAACUUCAGUGGCGAAGGCGGCCAUCUGGACCAUAACUGACGCUGAGGCACGAAAGCUAGGGGAGCAAACAGGAUUAGAUACCCCAGUAGUCCCUGUCUCUUAUAC